AGCCCUUGACAUCCCGGUCGCGGGAUCCAGAGAUGGAUCUCUUCAGUUCGGCUGGACCGGUGACAGGUGCUGCAUGGCUGUCGUCAGCUCGUGUCGUGAGAUGUUGGGUUAAGUCCCGCAACGAGCGCAACCCUCGCCCCUAGUUGCCAUCAUUCAGUUGGGCACUCUAGGGGGACUGCCGGUGAUAAGCCGAGAGGAAGGUGGGAUGACGUCAAGUCCUCAUCGG
RNAcentral lists this ribosomal RNA (226 nucleotides) under uncultured bacterium. RNAcentral's name for it is "partial 16S ribosomal RNA". It matches the Rfam family "Bacterial small subunit ribosomal RNA", at positions 980 to 1198 of the family's 1533-position model. The record is from RNAcentral.